Molecule: ribosomal RNA, 468 nt
Filed under: uncultured bacterium
Lineage: Bacteria
Description: partial 16S ribosomal RNA
Rfam family: Bacterial small subunit ribosomal RNA
Source: RNAcentral
GACGAACGCUGGCGGCGUGCUUAACACAUGCAAGUCGAACGGAAAGGCCCUGCUUUUGUGGGGUGCUCGAGUGGCGAACGGGGGAGUAACACGUGAGUAACCUGCCCUUGGCUUUGGGAUAACUUCAGGAAACUGGGGCUAAUACCGGAUAGGAGCUCCUGCUGCAUGGUGGGGGGUGGAAAGUUUCGGCGGUUGGGGAUGGACUCGCGGCUUAUCAGCUUGUUGGUGGGGUAGUGGCUUACCAAGGCUUUGACGGGUAGCCGGCCUGAGAGGGUGACCGGCCACAUUGGGACUGAGAUACGGCCCAGACUCCUACGGGAGGCAGCAGUGGGGAAUAUUGCACAAUGGGCGGAAGCCUGAUGCAGCAACGCCGCGUGCGGGAUGACGGCCUUCGGGUUGUAAACCGCUUUCGCCUGUGACGAAGCGUGAGUGACGGUAAUGGGUAAAGAAGCACCGGCUAACUACGUG